CAAGGCUUCAAACUCCCUCGACAGUUUGGAAUCUUAUUUUGAAACAAUUCUAGAGUCCAUGCCAGUUGUCUUACAGGAAGUCGCAUAUCCUGGAUUGUCUGUUUAUUGCCUCAAGAUUUGAUUUAAGAAACAUUUUGGGCAAGAGCCCCACACAGAGGAUGUGGUGUGCAUCUUAGUAUGUUGCUGAUGUCAGGUAGCUAUUAGUGAUGCCUACACUAUGAAUUCAAUGAACACUUGUUGAAGAAAUGAUCUGGUGCCAGGCAAUCUCCUAAGGACUUGGGAGCUUGACUUCAAAUAGGAGAGAGACAGCUUAUAUAAUCUCCAGAGCCUCCAACAUUGUCCUAGGAGCAGAGUGGAAAAAUGCUUUGUAACAUGAAGGGAAGACUGAAGUGACAUAGCAAAUGGCCCAGCAGCAGCACAGAGGAGAGGGACAGACCCAGAGAAGGGUGAGGUCAAGAGGCUACAGCUGUUCCUCAGCCCCAACCCCCAGACUCACUUCGAUGAUCAUAACUUUUUGGCUGUUGCUUUGGGGAGGGGCAGGCAGCUUGGUGAAAUGCCUGUGACCCAGCUAAGCAUUCAGCUGGAAGACUUCGCAGCAAGGUGCCCAAGGAAACCCUCAGGACAGAGAGGCUGGCAAGUUCAAAGGGCAGCCUGCCAGUCAUUCCUCUGCUGGCCCGUGCCAAGGGUCUAGGCCAGAUUUGGGCCUGGGAGUAUCUAGGGAAAACAUCAAACUAUAGUUUUCACUGCCUUGGUUGUCACAUUUGCCUCCUUCUGUGGCUACCCUCCUUCCACCCCAAAUAAAG
This 803-nucleotide long non-coding RNA is filed under the name Homo sapiens (human). Its description in RNAcentral is "non-protein coding lnc-MFSD4A-2:1". Lineage: Eukaryota; Metazoa; Chordata; Mammalia; Primates; Hominidae. The record is from RNAcentral.